This 298-nucleotide unclassified non-coding RNA is filed under the name uncultured fungus. Its description in RNAcentral is "partial contains 5.8S ribosomal RNA, internal transcribed spacer 2, and large subunit ribosomal RNA". The stretch from base 1 to 52 matches the Rfam family "5.8S ribosomal RNA", at positions 103 to 154 of the family's 154-position model. Lineage: Eukaryota; Fungi. The record is from RNAcentral.
AACGCAAAUUGCACUCUCUGGUAUUCCGGAGAGUAUGCCUGUUUGAGGGUCAGUUUAAGUAAAAAUCGAGGUGUUGCUUUUUGCGACGCCAUCGGAAUUGGGUUAUCUUUUAUUCCUUUGUAUUUUAAGAGACCUAAAAUUUUUGAUACCUUGUGCAUCUCAAGACGUACAUAAGAAUAUUUUUUUUUUAUCCGUCCGGAGUGCCAAUUUUUUAUUAGGUAUGACCAUGUUGUGGUAUCGUGCCUAUAACAACUCAUAUUUUGACCUCAAAUCAGGUAGGAGUACCCGCUGAACUUAA